This 464-nucleotide ribosomal RNA is filed under the name Chiridius gracilis. RNAcentral's name for it is "partial 12S ribosomal RNA". Lineage: Eukaryota; Metazoa; Arthropoda; Copepoda; Calanoida; Aetideidae. The record is from RNAcentral.
AUUAAGGUUAAAAUUGUUUAUUUUUAAAUUUAUAUAUUAUAAAUCAUUUUAUAAUUUAGUUGUGAAUAUAGUAAAAAGUAAUUUUUAUAAUUUUAUUAAUUUUUUUUUAUAAAAAUUAAUUAUAAACUAGGGUUAGAUGCCUAUUAUUUGUUUAAUAAAUUUAAUUUAGUAGUAACAAAUUAUUUUUUAAACUAAAAUUUCAUGGCAGUAUUUUACUCCCUGCAGAGGAAUUUGAAUAUUAAAUGAUAAUCCUCUUUUAUUUUUACUUAAUUUUUUUUUAUGUGUGGUUGUUUAAAUAAAUAAAUUAAUUAUAAAUUUUAAAUCAGAUUUUAUGUAAAUACUAAUUAAGAAUAUUUUAAUUACAAAUUUUUAUUAAUUUUAGGAUUUGCAUGUAUUUAAAUUUUAUAAAAAUAGUAAUGAAGAGGUAUUAAAAUAUGUACAUAUUGUCCGUCACUCUCAGAGAU